UGGGGAAUAUUGGACAAUGGGCGAAAGCCUGAUCCAGCCAUGCCGCGUGUGUGAAGAAGGUCUUCGGAUUGUAAAGCACUUUAAGUUGGGAGGAAGGGCAUUAACCUAAUACGUUAGUGUUUUGACGUUACCAACAGAAUAAGCACCGGCUAACUUCGUGCCAGCAGCCGCGGUAAUACGAAGGGUGCAAGCGUUAAUCGGAAUUACUGGGCGUAAAGCGCGCGUAGGUGGUUCAGCAAGUUGGAUGUGAAAGCCCCGGGCUCAACCUGGGAACUGCAUCCAAAACUACUGAGCUAGAGUACGGUAGAGGGUGGUGGAAUUUCCUGUGUAGCGGUGAAAUGCGUAGAUAUAGGAAGGAACACCAGUGGCGAAGGCGACCACCUGGACUGAUACUGACACUGAGGUGCGAAAGCGUGGGGAGCAAACAGGAUUAGGAUACCCUGGUAGUCCACGCCGUAAACGAUGUCGACCAGCCGUUGGGAUCCUUGAGAUCUUAGUGGCGCG
RNAcentral lists this ribosomal RNA (504 nucleotides) under uncultured Pseudomonadota bacterium. RNAcentral's name for it is "bacterial SSU rRNA". It matches the Rfam family "Bacterial small subunit ribosomal RNA", at positions 355 to 850 of the family's 1533-position model. The record is from RNAcentral. Lineage: Bacteria; Pseudomonadati; Pseudomonadota.